This 417-nucleotide ribosomal RNA is filed under the name uncultured bacterium. RNAcentral's name for it is "bacterial SSU rRNA". It matches the Rfam family "Bacterial small subunit ribosomal RNA", at positions 28 to 432 of the family's 1533-position model. The record is from RNAcentral.
GAUGAACGCUAGCUACAGGCUUAACACAUGCAAGUCGAGGGGCAGCAUUUUAGUUUGCUUGCAAACUAAAGAUGGCGACCGGCGCACGGGUGAGUAACACGUAUCCAACCUGCCGAUAACUCGGGGAUAGCCUUUCGAAAGAAAGAUUAAUAUCCGAUAGUAUAUUAAACCGCAUGGUUUUACUAUUAAAGAAUUUCGGUUAUCGAUGGGGAUGCGUUCCAUUAGUUGUUGGCGGGUAACGGCCCACCAAGACUACGAUGGAUAGGGGGUUCUGAGAGGAAGGUCCCCCCACAUUGGAACUGAGACACGGUCCAAACUCCUACGGGAGGCAACAGUGAGGGAAUAUUGGUCAAUGGGCCGAGAGGCUGAACCAGCCAAGUUUGCGUGAGGGAUGAAGGUUCUAUGGAUCGUAAACCU